RNAcentral lists this long non-coding RNA (835 nucleotides) under Callithrix jacchus (white-tufted-ear marmoset). Its description in RNAcentral is "lncRNA (ENSCJAG00000049087.3)". The record is from RNAcentral. Lineage: Eukaryota; Metazoa; Chordata; Mammalia; Primates; Cebidae.
GUUUGAUGAAUGUGAGGUCAAGCUCCAUCAUCUCGUGGAUUCACAUGGCUCUCUCUUCUCCCUCAGGUGGAUGAGAUGCAACUUACGUAAUGAGAAUGGAGGCGUUUCAGGCAAUGUGACAGAGACAUGUGCAGAUGAAGAAGGAUUUUCAGCCCCUCUGCGGGAAACUGGAAUUGGCAAAUGGUUACUCAGUAAGUGAAGAGAACUGACUUCAUCAUCCUCAGCAAAGUUUCCAGUGCUACAAGAAUUCAAGCCUUACAGCUCUGCUCCUACAAUUGUCAGAGGCCUCUUGGGGAUGGCAAGUACAAAGGAGACUGAAGAAAGACAUAUUCCAGUCACCCCCAAGUUCAUUUCCACUUCAGGCUGAGAGCCUGCUGGCCAAGGGGAAGCUCUGUCUCUUUCAAUUUGGUUUGAAUUGAGACCAUCCAUCCUGGAUGACCAACAGAAUUGGGAAUUAAAUCAUUCGUCCAUGGACUUAGCUGCCUUCUGCUUAGCUGCCCCGAAAGGCAGGCAGUUGAUGAAUGGAGCGUACUACAAAAGAAAGCCGGCGGGCACACAUGGGUCUGGUGACGCUUCUGUCAGGGCGGCUCAAAGGGAAGGCUGCACCACAUGGUGAGUUCCCCCUUUUCUCCCUAAACAAAUGUUGUUUUUACUGAAGUGGGGCUGGUCUGAUUUAAUUACAGGGGGAAGAGAGAGAGGCUGUCCGUCCAUUCUUCUGCUCCAUGAGAAGUGACAUUGGUAGGCUUGGGUGGGAUGAGAACGAGAAUACACCAGUCCUCAGGGCCUCUGGUUCAAUUACUCUUUCUGCCUUGGUUUCCCCAUCUGUCAAAACCAG